GGGGGCACUGUGGGGGCAAUGGGGGGAGGAAUGGGGGGGGCACUGGGGAGGGCAGUGGGGCGGGGGGGGGGAGCUGCAGAAUGGGGUCAUUGUGGGAAUGGGGGGUGGGGGCAGCACGGUGUCCCCAUAGGGUAUGGGAUGUGGGGACACAUAGAAUGGUGUCCCUAUGGGAAUGGGGUCAUGGGGUACACCUCAAUGUCCCCAUAGGUUGUGGGAUAUGGGGACAGACAGAACAGUGCCCCUAUAGGGAAUGGGGUGUGGGGUACAGCCUAAUGAUCCCAUAGGUUAGGGGAUAUGGGGACAUAUAGAAUGGUGUCCCUAUGGGGAAUGGGGUGUGGGGUACAGAACAGUGUCCCCAUAGGUUAUGGGAUAUGGGGACAGACAGAACAGUGUCCCUAUGGGGAAUGGGGUGUGGGGUACAGCCUAAUGACCCCAUAGGUUAUGGGAUAUGGGGACAUAUAGAAUGGUGACCCUAUGGGAACGGAGCAUGGGGUACAGCCCGGUGUCCCCAUAGGUUAUGGGAUAUGGGGACAGACAGAACAGUGUCCCUAUGCGGAAUGGGGUGUGGGGUACAGCCGAAUGACCCCAUAGGUUAUGGGAUAUGGGGACACACAGAAUGGUGUCCCUAUGAGGAAUGAGUCCCUAUGGGCUCAGUGCUAUAUAUAAC
This 667-nucleotide long non-coding RNA is filed under the name Gallus gallus (chicken). Its description in RNAcentral is "lncRNA (ENSGALG00010018571.1)". Lineage: Eukaryota; Metazoa; Chordata; Aves; Galliformes; Phasianidae. The record is from RNAcentral.